CGGGGCGUAGCUUAGCCUGGUAGAGCGCUUGGUUUGGGACCAAGAGGUCGCGAGUUCGAAUCUCGCCGCCCCGACCA
RNAcentral lists this transfer RNA (77 nucleotides) under Pseudomonadota bacterium. RNAcentral's name for it is "tRNA-Pro". It matches the Rfam family "tRNA". From Rfam's summary of the family: Transfer RNA (tRNA) molecules are approximately 80 nucleotides in length. Their secondary structure includes four short double-helical elements and three loops (D, anti-codon, and T loops). Further hydrogen bonds mediate the characteristic L-shaped molecular structure. tRNAs have two regions of fundamental functional importance: the anti-codon, which is responsible for specific mRNA codon recognition, and the 3' end, to which the tRNAs corresponding amino acid is attached (by aminoacyl-tRNA synthetases). tRNAs cope with the degeneracy of the genetic code in two manners: having more than one tRNA (with a specific anti-codon) for a particular amino acid; and 'wobble' base-pairing, i.e. permitting non-standard base-pairing at the 3rd anti-codon position. The record is from RNAcentral. Lineage: Bacteria; Pseudomonadati; Pseudomonadota. RNAcentral also lists the same sequence under 1 other name.